CACGUAGGGGGCAAGCGUUGUCCGGAUUUAUUGGGCGUAAAGAGCUCGUAGGUGGUUCGGUAAGUCGGGUGUUAAACCCCCAGGCUCAACCUGGGGACGCCACUCGAUACUGCUGUGACUAGAGUCCGGUAGGGGAGCGUGGAAUUCCUGGUGUAGCGGGUGAAAUGCGCAGAUAUCAGGAGGAACACCAGCGGCGAAGGCGGCGCUCUGGGCCGGUACUGACACUGAGGAGCGAAAGCGUGGGUAGCAAACAGG
This 255-nucleotide ribosomal RNA is filed under the name uncultured bacterium. Its description in RNAcentral is "partial 16S ribosomal RNA". It matches the Rfam family "Bacterial small subunit ribosomal RNA", at positions 524 to 776 of the family's 1533-position model. The record is from RNAcentral.